GGGAAGGUGGCUCAGUGGUAGAGUGCUUGCCUUGCAUGCAGGAGGCCCUGGGUUCCAUUCCUCAGCACCCCA
This 72-nucleotide transfer RNA is filed under the name Dipodomys ordii (Ord's kangaroo rat). It matches the Rfam family "tRNA". From Rfam's summary of the family: Transfer RNA (tRNA) molecules are approximately 80 nucleotides in length. Their secondary structure includes four short double-helical elements and three loops (D, anti-codon, and T loops). The record is from Rfam by way of RNAcentral. Lineage: Eukaryota; Metazoa; Chordata; Mammalia; Rodentia; Heteromyidae.